GAACUUUGGUGGGAGCUUUGGUUCGGCUGGGACCUGCGCCCUGAAUGAAGGCUUCCCUGGUACCCCCUGCCGAUCCGCGGUCUUGGGGACCUGCGCGUCCGAUAGCGCGUGCUCGAAGAGGAGAGGCAACCUCAGCUCCAGGGGGUUUGAACCGACCCACUUUCAGUUACGAGUAAACUGAGACCAGAGAGCAGAGGGGGCUUAUUUCCCUCUGCCCCAUACUGGCCGGCGAAAGGGCAAGUCACACAGAGCAGGCGACCUUUUUGUCAAAAGUGUGUGGGGCGGGGCGCGCAGUAGGCGCCCUAAACGCUGGACUGAACAGAGAAGCUUAAUUGAUACUUAAGAGUGGAAGCUUAGCUACAGUUAAGGACUCCUUCCUCCUUUCAUUCAUUUAAUAAAGAUUUAUUGAUUCAGUCACGUCUAUGCUACUUAAUGAGGCGUCUUGGGAGCAUUUCAAACAAGAAGUCGGUUUUCCACCUACCCCUCAGUUUUCCCAAGACAUUCCUGCGUGAACAGCCACACCUUCCCACCCGCCUUCACCUCUCCUACCCGACUCUGUCUCUGGCUGGAUUGGAUUACAGUGCAGGCCUCUCAACCUGGAAAGGGCAGAGCCAC
This 615-nucleotide long non-coding RNA is filed under the name Homo sapiens (human). Its description in RNAcentral is "non-protein coding lnc-CRAT-1:1". The record is from RNAcentral. Lineage: Eukaryota; Metazoa; Chordata; Mammalia; Primates; Hominidae.